RNAcentral lists this ribosomal RNA (262 nucleotides) under uncultured archaeon. RNAcentral describes it as "partial 16S ribosomal RNA". It matches the Rfam family "Archaeal small subunit ribosomal RNA", at positions 748 to 1008 of the family's 1478-position model. The record is from RNAcentral.
AGGGUGUAAACGCUGCAGACUUGGUGUUGGAGGCCCUUUGGGGGGCAUUCAGUGCCGGAGAGAAGUUGUUAAGUCUGCUACUUGGGGAGUACGUCCGCAAGGAUGAAACUUAAAGGAAUUGGCGGGGGAGGCACCGCAACGGGAGGAGCGUGCGGUUUAAUUGGAUUCAACACCGUAAACUCACCAGGGAAGACUGUUACAUGAAGGCCGAGAUGAAGACUCUGCUAGAUUUUCAGAGAGGUGGUGCAUGGCGUCAGUGACU